Molecule: unclassified non-coding RNA, 336 nt
Filed under: soil metagenome
Description: partial contains 5.8S ribosomal RNA, internal transcribed spacer 2, and large subunit ribosomal RNA
Rfam family: 5.8S ribosomal RNA (bases 1-120)
Source: RNAcentral
GAUGAAGAACGUAGCGAAAUGCGAUAAGUAUUGUGAAUUGCAGAAUUCAGUGAAUCAUCGAAUCUUUGAACGCACAUUGCGCCCGCCAGUAUUCUGGCGGGCAUGCCUGUUCGAGCGUCAUUUCAACCAUCAAGCCCCCGGCUUGUGUUGGGGACCUGCGGCUGCCGCAGGCCCUGAAAAGCAGUGGCGGGCUCGCUGUCACACCGAGCGUAGUAGCAUACAUCUCGCUCUGGGCGUGCUGCGGGUUCCGGCCGUUAAACCACCUUCAUAACCCAAGGUUGACCUCGGAUCAGGUAGGAAGACCCGCUGAACUUAAGCAUAUCAAUAAGCGGAGGA